UCGUGCAGCGGGCGCUGGCGAGGUGACAUCUUCCACGCGUAGCCCUCGAGUUAUAGUAACUGAUAUUAAUCUUUAUAAUUGAAGAUUAAAAAAGCAACUAUCAUGAAGCUGACGUUUGCUCUGGGGCUGAUAGUGGCCGUGGCAGCAAAGGCGGCGCCUACAAACUCGGGUUUUGCGAACCGCGAAACCCAAGAACUUGGAUUAAAUUUCGAUGCAAGAGCGAGAGUCAAAAGAGAUGAAUUUCCCUUCCGUAUAAACCCCUUAACCGUCAGCAAUAAACCUGGAGGGAGUGUCAGCAAUAAACCUGGAGGGAGUGUCAGCAAUAAACCUGGUGGGAGUGUCAGCAAUAAACCUGGAGGGAGUGUCAGCAAUAAACCUGGAGGGAGUGUCAGCAAUAAACCUGGAGGGAGUGUCAGCAAUAAACCUGGAGGGAGUGUCAGCAAUAAACCUGGAGGGAGUGUCAGCAAUAAACCUGGAGGGAGUGU
Molecule: long non-coding RNA, 485 nt
Organism: Hyalella azteca
Lineage: Eukaryota; Metazoa; Arthropoda; Malacostraca; Amphipoda; Hyalellidae
Exons: 2
Source: RefSeq, a predicted model, not a curated record